Molecule: long non-coding RNA, 340 nt
Organism: Melanotaenia boesemani (Boeseman's rainbowfish)
Lineage: Eukaryota; Metazoa; Chordata; Actinopteri; Atheriniformes; Melanotaeniidae
Exons: 3
Source: RefSeq, a predicted model, not a curated record
UCCUCUCUUCAGCUCCAUUUCAUCUUCCAUCUAGCUCCAUUAACUUGAGACUAAAAUGACACAGCUCCAUCUGCAGUCUCUGACACCCACCUGCAAAGCAUCCACCUCCAGGAAGAAAAAUCCACCUUCCUUCUAUACCGACCACCUCUGACAUCAAGAAACUAAAUCCACCUUCAGCCUCCACCUUCUCGCACCACCCUUAAGCUCCACCUGCAGUCUCUGCCAUCAACCUGCAAAGCAUCCACCUCCAGGAAGAAACAUCCACCUUCAACCUCCACCUGCUGCUUUUACCAUCCACCUGCAGAAAAUUCCAGCCUCACCUCCUUCUGCAGUCUCCUCC